AACAAACUGAAAUCAAAGAAUUUUUCACAUUUGUCUUAAGAAUUGACUCAAACUGACUAAUCGAUUCUCAAAAUAGUGAUUCAUUUACAAGUCU
Etheostoma cragini (Arkansas darter) is the source of this 94-nucleotide long non-coding RNA. RefSeq lists it as uncharacterized. The record is from RefSeq and is a predicted model, not a curated record. NCBI's taxonomy places the organism in Eukaryota, Metazoa, Chordata, Actinopteri, Perciformes, Percidae. The transcript is spliced from 3 exons.